Long non-coding RNA from Sipha flava (yellow sugarcane aphid), 712 nucleotides. RefSeq lists it as uncharacterized. NCBI's taxonomy places the organism in Eukaryota, Metazoa, Arthropoda, Insecta, Hemiptera, Aphididae. The transcript has 3 exons. The record is from RefSeq and is a predicted model, not a curated record.
AUCAUGACCCGUUACGUACUGUGUCUCUGAAACUCUUCGCCGCGGUUCGGCGACGUACGAAGAACAUUUUCGAAAACGAUAGAAUCGUACCGGGUGGAUGGUAAACGCAUUAAUUACACUACCGGUACCACCGGACGAUGGCCGUGAUGUUCCAUGAGUUAUUUACGCGGAACGAAAUCGAUUUGUUUUCGCACAACGAAUAUGGGAACGUGAUCGACGAGGAGGACAACGACGGGAUCGUAAUGUAACCGUGAGCCUGACAAGAACGCUACUGAUGUUCGAGAAAUCGAAGAAAACGGUUUAUUCCACUAACGUGGUAGUCGCAACGUCAUCUCGCAAAAUUCCAUAGAAGCCGGAACGUAAUACGAUAUUGCACGCCACGACUUGGCCGUCCGAAUAUUAAUUAUUUGAAACGUUUUGUGAGAAAAUGUUCCAUUUUAAUAGCGUCGAACGGAUGAAAAAGACAACGCAUAACCACAACAGUAACAAGACAUUGUACUAAAUCUGUAAAUAUCUUGAGGUUGAUAAUUUAAUUGAUAUUUUUUCCGUCACACAACAAUAAUGUGAACUUUUGCUUUGUAAAAGUAUAAAUAUUACAACGAAAAGGAAGAUGGAAUAAUUUGACUUGGCAAUUCGAUAUUUAUUCCAACUAAAACUACGUUGCAUUUUUUUACUAACCAACUUUUUACACUUUUAGCGUUGUUAAUAAAGG